This 383-nucleotide ribosomal RNA is filed under the name uncultured bacterium. RNAcentral describes it as "bacterial SSU rRNA". It matches the Rfam family "Bacterial small subunit ribosomal RNA", at positions 28 to 416 of the family's 1533-position model. The record is from RNAcentral.
GAUGAACGCUGGCGGCGUGCCUAACACAUGCAAGUCGAGCGAUUCUCUUCGGAGAAGAGCGGCGGACGGGUGAGUAACGCGUGGGUAACCUGCCCUGUACACACGGAUAACAUACCGAAAGGUAUGCUAAUACGAGAUAAUAUGCUUUUAUCGCAUGGUAGAAGUAUCAAAGCUUUUGCGGUACAGGAUGGACCCGCGUCUGAUUAGCUAGUUGGUAAGGUAACGGCUUACCAAGGCGACGAUCAGUAGCCGACCUGAGAGGGUGAUCGGCCACAUUGGAACUGAGACACGGUCCAAACUCCUACGGGAGGCAGCAGUGGGGAAGUAAUUUGCACAAUAGGGCGAAAGCCUGAUGCAGCAACGCCGCGUGAGCGAUGAAGGCC